AACUUAAUCAAGUUAAAUAAAUAAUUGUUAGUUACUCGCAAUAUAUAAAAACAUUUAUAAAUUUAGUAAAGGUGAUUAAAAGUUAAUUAGAAACUAUAUAUGAUAUAAGUACUGUGAAGGAAAAACACAAUUGAAUAAUAGAAGAAAUUAAAAUUUGUACCUUUUGUAUCAUGGCUUAGCUAGAUUAAAAUUAUAAAUAUAAUUUCUCGAAAUCUAAUGAGCUAUUUUUAAUUCUUAUUUUAGUAAGGAUAGGGUAAUUGUGGCAAAAAUUUCCAAAAAAUUAAAAAUAGAAAUGAAAUUUUAUUCGAAUUAGAUGAUAGCUAGUUCUUCCAAAAAAGCAUAGAAGUGCUGUUCAUUAAACUUUUCAAGAAAAAUGUUUUUUAAUAGAAUUUAAUGAUAUGAGAUUUUUGAGGAUAAGCUCAGAAAUAAUAUUUAGUAUAUACACUUAAUUUUAUAUUAAAUUUAAGCUUGAAAAUAGCUAUAAUAUUAAGAUUUUGUUAUAAUUUUAUAUUACUUACCAAAAUAUAAUAAAUUUGUAUUUUAAUAUGGAAGAAAAUUCAUUAAUCUUUAAAUGAAUUAUAUUAAUGCUUAGAUGAGUACUACACAUAUUUUAUAAAUAAGUAUAAUUAAUAAAAAUAAUACAUAUAAGUAUAGUUUAAUAACUAAAUUACAUGAAGGAACUCGGCAAACAUAAUAUUCUGCCUGUUUAUCAAAAACAUGGCUCCUUGAAUUUUAAAUAUAAGGAGUCGGACCUGCCCAGUGAAUUAUUUUAAACGGCCGCGGUACUCUGACCGUGCAAAGGUAGCAUAAUCAUUUGCCCUAUAAUUGAGGGCUAGUAUGAAUGGUUUGACAAGAAUAAAACUGUCUCCCUGUAAUUAUAUGGAAUUUUAUCAUUAGGUGAAGAAGCCUAAAUAAAAUCAAAAGACAAGAAGACCCCGUCGAGCUUGAAAGAAAUUAAUAAGUUAAAAAUAUAUAUUCUUAAAAAGUUAUUUGUUAAAAAUUUUGGUUGGGGCGACUAAGGAACAAAUAAAGCUUCUUUUAAAUUUCGUGUCACGCACAGGUAUUGAUCCAAGAAAGUUGAUUAAAGAAAUUAGUUACCGCGGGGAUAACAGCAUUAUCUUUUUUGAGAGCUCAUAUCGAAAAAAAGGUUUGUGACCUCGAUGUUGGACCAGAAUAUCCCAAAGAUGCAGAAGUCUUUAAAGGUUGGUCUGUUCGACCAUUAAAAUUCUACGUGAUCUGAGUUCAGACCGGCGUGAGCCAGGUCAGUUUCUAUCUUUUAUUUUAAAAAUGAGUUCAGUACGAAAGGACCAAUUCAUGACAUUAAGUAAUGUUACUCUUGAAAAUAUAUAAUAUAAAAAUAAAUUAGAUUAAUAAUACCACAG
RNAcentral lists this ribosomal RNA (1382 nucleotides) under Fusitriton oregonensis. RNAcentral describes it as "16S ribosomal RNA". It matches the Rfam family "Bacterial large subunit ribosomal RNA". The record is from RNAcentral. Lineage: Eukaryota; Metazoa; Mollusca; Gastropoda; Littorinimorpha; Ranellidae.